GCCACACCAAAAUGGGCAGAAGGAAGAACUUGGACAGGUUGGAUAUCAGCACCACUUUGAGUAUAAUUAAAGAAAAAUUUCGAAAGCCUAUUUUCUGCAUCCAAUCAAUACUCAGAGUGGCGGUGAUUAUUAGCAGCAAUAGAGUCAUGAACAUGUAAUCUGUAAAAUUGAGAAAUUGAUUAGGGGUAUAUGUGUAAAAGCCCUUUUCGUGGACAUGCAAAGAGGCAUUCGGAGGGUCGGGCAGUUUUUGGCGGCACAGCGCAAAGGAUUCCAGGAGCAGCACCACCAGCGAAACCUUCCAGUAGAGCUAUACAUAGCAUAUAUUUUAGAGCAUUACACCGAAGGGACAUUCUCACCUCGUCACCUUAAAGUCGCCAUUGUAUAUAAUGUGCCGGAAGGCGCACGAAUCUAAUAGCAGUGCAUCUAUUAAUAUGAUAAACUCCUCGAACUCAAUGUAUUUAUCCGUGAUUUGGUGACAGUUGUCCUGCGGAAUAGUAAUUAAGUUACACAAAUC
Drosophila melanogaster (fruit fly) is the source of this 514-nucleotide non-coding RNA. The record is from Ensembl. Lineage: Eukaryota; Metazoa; Arthropoda; Insecta; Diptera; Drosophilidae.